UCCAGUGGCUCAGACGGUAAAGUGUCUGCCUACAAUGUGGGAGACCCAGGUUCGAUUCCUGGGUCUGGAA
Molecule: transfer RNA, 70 nt
Filed under: Ovis aries (sheep)
Lineage: Eukaryota; Metazoa; Chordata; Mammalia; Artiodactyla; Bovidae
Rfam family: tRNA
About the family: Transfer RNA (tRNA) molecules are approximately 80 nucleotides in length. Their secondary structure includes four short double-helical elements and three loops (D, anti-codon, and T loops).
Source: Rfam by way of RNAcentral